Molecule: long non-coding RNA, 2097 nt
Organism: Meleagris gallopavo (turkey)
Lineage: Eukaryota; Metazoa; Chordata; Aves; Galliformes; Phasianidae
Source: Ensembl
AUGAUGGUCCCAGCUUGGAGGGGAGAGGUGUGGCACGGCCCCAAGGAGGAAAGCCCUGCAAAGUUCUGUGUCCACUUUGUGAAUAAUACGGCUUUGUUUAGAAACCAGAAAUUCUUUCCUCUUUCUUGUGAAGUGAAACAUAUGUUUUGUUUCUGUUUUUGUUUUUUUNNNNNNNNNNNNNNNNNNNNNNNNNNNNNNNNNNNNNNNNNNNNNNNNNNNNNNNNNNNNNNNNNNNNNNNNNNNNNNNNNNNNNNNNNNNNNNNNNNNNCGCGGCGGGGCGGACUGCAGCCGCCCCCGCAACAGCGCACCGGCCCGCCUAGGCCGCACCGCCGCGCUUCGAUCGCUGGUUUAUAUCUCCUUGAGAAAAUUUUCCCUGUGCUACCAAUCAAGCUCACUUGGAUAUCUGUGCAAGGAUUAUCCCACAAACAGGUUUGCCUUUUCCCAAGGAAGAAGCAUCCCCCAUACUGCCUUUCCUGGCCACUAGCAAACUCUAGUCUCCGAUCUACAGUAAAGUAAGCAAGCUCUGUGACCAGCACAAGAGCCUGCCGAUAACAGUGAUGAAGGCUGCUCUGAAAAUAGUGCCUUCUAUUUUUUUUAUGUUGGCCCAUGAAAUCAGGAGUGGAUGUUGGUGGAACGGCAGUAGAGGUUGAACCUUCCCACCAAUGUUCUGUUACAUAUUGUUGCUGUGUGACAGGUGGCAGCAGAGGAACAGUCUGCUAAAAUGGCACCAGACAUAGAAGUGCACAUGAAGCAAAGGUGUGCUACUGAAUUCCUCCACGCAGAGAACAUUGCACCGAUUGAUUUUCACUGAUGCUUGCUGUAAGUUUAAAAAGACUAGCAAGUGGAUAUCAGCACAAUGAGGCAUAGCUAAUGAUGGUGACUAUGUUGAAAAGGAGUCUUUUGUAGAUGACAUUUAGCUCUUCCAAAUAGUGUUACAGUGCUCUUUAUAUCUGUUGUAAUUUCCGUGCAAAUAAAGAAACAUUACUUUUGGAGUGACUUACUUACAAUAUGUUGAGCUUAAAUCUAUCAUUCUUCUGAUAGCAAGGUGGAGUGGGAAAGAGAAAAACCUUGAUGCCACAUGAGCACUGUUCAGCAACUGUGGUAUCAGCAUAAUUUUAGCAAAAAAUACGAAGCUCAGCACCAUGCUAUGAAGAAAAUACAUGUUGUCCCAGCCAGAGCCAGUAAUGCACACCAAGAAGAGCAUAGUGAGUUUGAAGCUGUGCACUAACAUUUGUCCAGGCUUGCCAUUGAAGGGCUUUCCAUGAACAUUUUUAUACUGCUACUGUUUAUAGUAAUACUGUUGUAGCUGAAGUGACUGAGGGUCUUUAAUAGCUUUUACAUCUUUGGGUGUUUGCAUGAUUUGUGUAAGCCGCACUGUUUUGUACUUACUAGACAUACAUGCAAUCAGGCAGUCAUUCACCAUAUUUUAUUCCACAGCGCAGCAUCAGAAAGGAACGUUCUGUUUCUUUUUCUCACACUUGCAUGGUAGAAAAUGGAAUUGUAAAAUGACAGAUACUUGAUUCUCCUUUUUAAUUUCGUGAAAAGUAGUAUACUAAAUUGCCUAUUCCUCAAAGUACCCUCUAGAGAACCCAAUUUCCUUGAUGCAUAAAAGAAACUGAUGGUAAGUGAAUACAUGUAGUGUGUAUGACAUUUUAUUUGCAUCUGAUGUCUUAUUGUGUUACAUUCUUAGGCCUUACCUGUGCUUGAAUUUGGCUGUUAUUGCAUAGCCAGGAGCACUGUGCAAUACAAUUGCUAAACAAGCACUGGGAUUUCAUAGCUUGAUAUGUUGUGCUGCUCUAACUUGCUGUUUCCUGAUGUACACAGGUCUUGCAUUAUUAUUUUGUGGAAGUGGUGUGAUAUUGCUACCCAGAUGCCCCAAACAGAGGCAAACAAAGUGAGAAAGGGUGAAAGACGCACCGGGACUUUGUUGGGGUUGAGUAACACUGAAUAAACAGGUUGCUGCUGCUGUGUGCUCUGCAUACGGGUGGUUUGUCUUGGUUACACGUUGGGACUAACUGCAUUUGUUUUUCUUGCUAGGGGUGACAGGUCAGUACCUGGGCCUCUGCAGUCUCCCAGUCUUCCUGCAUUGGUCUGACC